AUUGAACGCUGGCGGAAUGCUUUACACAUGCAAGUCGAACGGUAGAGGGGGCAUCCCCUCGAGAGUGGCGAACGGGUGAGUAAUAUAUCGGAACGUGCCCAGUCGUGGGGGAUAACGUAGCGAAAGUUACGCUAAUACCGCAUACGAUCUAAGGAUGAAAGCGGGGGAUCGCAAGACCUCGCGCGAUUGGAGCGGCCGAUAUCAGAUUAGGUAGUGGGUGGGGUAAAGGCUCACCAAGCCAACGAUCUGUAGCUGGUCUGAGAGGACGACCUGCCACACUUGAACUGAGACACGGUCCAGACUCCUACGGGAGGCAGCAGUGGGGAAUUUUGGACAAUGGACGCAAGUCUGAUCCAGCCAUUCCGCGUGCAGGAUGAAGGCCCUCGGGUUGUAAACUGCUUUUGUACGGAACGAAAAGGUCUCUCUUAAUACGGGGGACUCAUGACGGUACCGUAAGAAUAAGCACCGGCUAACUACGUGCCAGCCGCCGCCGUAA
This 496-nucleotide ribosomal RNA is filed under the name uncultured bacterium. RNAcentral describes it as "partial 16S ribosomal RNA". It matches the Rfam family "Bacterial small subunit ribosomal RNA", at positions 30 to 523 of the family's 1533-position model. The record is from RNAcentral.